GCCCGGGGUUACAAGCAAUCUGCUCCCUAUACCUGCAUGUCGAGUCAGACUGUUGGUUCUCCAUUUUCUGUCAGUGUGGGCCACCUGAUCAGCGGAAUGGCCUGAUUUUUGUCCGAGGCGAUCUUCAAGGUGGAAACUAUUGUUUGCAUGGUACUGAUUUCUACACAAGUGGCGUGUUGGUAGGAAAGAUGGUUGAGUACCACAAGUUUUGGUACUUUGCCUGCAUUCGAUCGGUUCUCUUUUUUAGAAGGUAAGUUUUGUAUGUUCUGUCUGCUGGUGUAACUUUUUCAUUUAUUUCAUUUAAUAAACCAGUGGUGAUACCGUCUGCCUUUGCCACACAGACACGGAAAAAAAAAAAAAAACGUAUUUAAUGAUUAAGGAAAAAAAAGUUCCCUUGUUAAGAUGACCAAAAUGCUUUUCUUGUGCUGUUUUCAUUACAUCUCCUGGUUUUUAUACAAGCCCAGUCCUCACUUUACUUUUUUGGGUGUCCUUGUGACAUUUGAUAAAUUAGAAAUUAUCAUCCUCAUGAUAUACUUCCAUUCAAAUCCAUUUCACAGAUUGCAUUCUUAAACUGCCUAAGUACCUUAUUCAUCUACGACCUUGGAGCUUGGAAGCACAUGUUUGUGUGUUGAGAAAUGCUAAAGCGAUUCUUUCACAUGAGAUGAGACUGGAGAGGCAAUCCACAGAACAUGUUCUGAUGAGGUGCACAUGUGCGAGCUCUGGGCCAGUCAUCUGGUGGGGUGCACUGCGACGGCGCAGGUUCCAUCUUUAGG
Molecule: long non-coding RNA, 773 nt
Organism: Magnolia sinica
Lineage: Eukaryota; Viridiplantae; Streptophyta; Magnoliopsida; Magnoliales; Magnoliaceae
Exons: 2
Source: RefSeq, a predicted model, not a curated record